This 237-nucleotide long non-coding RNA is filed under the name Medicago truncatula (barrel medic). RNAcentral's name for it is "long non-coding RNA (MTRU_LNC006217)". The record is from RNAcentral. Lineage: Eukaryota; Viridiplantae; Streptophyta; Magnoliopsida; Fabales; Fabaceae.
GGUUCUCAACGACUUCUAGUUGGCUCCAUCGAAAUCCGAUGAGAGGCCACAUGGCACGUGCUGCCGCGCUUUUAUUAAAACAAAUCGAAAGUCAGGUAGCGUUCAACAAAACGGUUUUUGUUAUGGGAUGAUUGACGGAAACCGUUACUAGUUGAAGAAAAUGGAAAAAUAUUUUUAGUUUAAAGCUUUCGACAGAAUUAAAAAAUGGUGAUAGAAAUCACCAGGUCGAUGUAACAC